UCUUAUUUUGAGGUCAGUUUUAGUUAUAAGCGGCUUCCUCUUGUGUAUUAUUUGUCUGGUAUAAUAGGGCACAAUCACUCUAGUUGCCAAAGAUUGAUCGACUUUUCGAAGGGGGAGCUAAUCUAAGGUUGGUCGGAGGAUAUACGAGCGGAGGUCAAACAUAGGAAUCGAAAACAAUUUGUUUAGUGGAGGCGUGAUUUAAGAAAGAAUGAGAAUUUUUGGGCCACAUUUCCGGUGGGAUUAUAUGACAUAGUGGGAGGGGAGAGUAAUUCACACAUCCAAAAUAGAUGGCUUUCUUAUCUAAAACAGGUAGCUCCCAAUGUCAAUGUUGGAGCUAAUGAUCAGGGCCAAGGGGCAUCAAGUGGACUAUCGAAUGAUGGCCCUUUUCCGGGGUAUCUAUUUGGGCCAAUUAGGAGUGUUGAACAAUCCAUUAAAGAUUCUAUUAAAAAAAAAAAAAAGUCUAGGCUCGAUUCUAAUGUUUCAGCUCAGCAUGUUUCUUCAAAUGAUACGGCCCAGCAUACUACUAUUUGGGGCAGCUCUAGCUUUAAUCAAACUACUGUAUCGGUCGGUCUCUUAGUGGAGACCCAUCGGAAGCCAUGAUUUGUAUUGCUUGGAACUGCCGGGGACUGGUAAUCCCCGUGCGGUACUCACUCUCAGGGAGCUUGUUCAUUCUAAUAAACCUAGUAUUUUGUUUUUAUUCGAGACUUUAGUUCAUUAAAAUAAAGAAUUGUGCAUUUCUUUACUUUUUGGUUAUUGUUUAUGUGUAGACCGUCUUGGUCGUAGUGCUGUACUUGCAUUAUUUUGGAAUUCGACUUUUAAUAUUUCUAUUUUCGGGUAUUCUUAGAAUCACAUUGAUGCUCUUGUUGAGUUAGACAAUGGUUUUAAAUAGAGGCUUACUGGUUUCUAUGGUUUUCCGGAGUCUAGUAGGAAGCGUGGUUCUUGGGCUUUGCUAAGACAUUUGACGUCCCUUAAUUCUCUUCCAUGGAUGUGCUUUGGGGAUUUCAAUAAUCUUUUGUCAAUUAAUGAUAAGAAAGGUGCUGCAGUUUACCUUACUAUUUGGCUCGAUGGUUUUCGUGAUUGUGUUUCAGACUGUAAUCUUUUAGAGGUUCCUCUUUUACUUGGGAACGGGGUAGGGGAACCAGUUCUUUUGUCAUGGAAAGGCUUAAUAGGGCUUUUGUAAAUGAUGCGUGGGUUCAACGCUAUCCAUUCCAUAAGCUUUAUAGUCGUGUGUGUCCCACUUCGUAUCACUCACCUAUUAAAUUAGUGGUGAAAGCUAGGUUUUCAACCCCAAGAGUUCGGCGCUUCAAGUUUGAGAAGUUUUGGCUUAGUGAAACAGGUACAAGUUGGGAGGAAAUUUCAGUUCUUGUAUUAAGGUUGUUAAGGAGGAACUUUUCCGGUCAUAUUCUAUAGGGAAUAAUGAUGAUGAGGUUCUAAAGUUAUGUUUUGACUUAAAUAUUUUGCUUGCUCAAGAGGGGUUUUAGAAACAGUGAGCUAGAUUUUUUCCAUGCUUGGGUGAGUAAAAGAAAAUGGUUAAAUCAUAUUUCUAUGCUUUAUGAUGAUGUGGGUCAGCAAUGUACUGACGAGGCGGGCA
Molecule: long non-coding RNA, 1591 nt
Organism: Gossypium arboreum
Lineage: Eukaryota; Viridiplantae; Streptophyta; Magnoliopsida; Malvales; Malvaceae
Exons: 2
Source: RefSeq, a predicted model, not a curated record